ACAACUCAUCCUUGCAAUGAGCCUGUUAUUUGGACUGUGAUGAAAGAGGUCAGAAGUGUAACGGGGGAGCAAGUUGAGCUACUAAGGGCUCCAGUGAAUCAUACGGACAAUGCAAGGCCGACACAGCUAGUAAACGGACGCAAAGCGAGCUCUUGAUCGGUGAGGAGACUAGGAGAUCGUUUGGACGUCCUAAUCCGCUGUAAUAUCUAUCAUUGUAGUAAAAAAAAUGAAUACAUUCGCCCCUAGUACUUCCGUCAAUUCGUUUUAGGAUCAAAACGGAGGAGGUAAAUCACGGACGACUACUAGCCUUUGGAAUAGUGACUAGCACAUAAGGGAGGUAUUUACCUCGGUUUUUACCGAGAUUCGAACCCCAGACCUCAUUGUGAUAACACUUC
Long non-coding RNA from Zingiber officinale, 395 nucleotides. RefSeq lists it as uncharacterized. The record is from RefSeq and is a predicted model, not a curated record. The transcript is spliced from 3 exons. Lineage: Eukaryota; Viridiplantae; Streptophyta; Magnoliopsida; Zingiberales; Zingiberaceae.